Long non-coding RNA from Cyprinus carpio (common carp), 1215 nucleotides. Lineage: Eukaryota; Metazoa; Chordata; Actinopteri; Cypriniformes; Cyprinidae. The record is from Ensembl.
GUCACAUGACCUACCACUGGCAGCUGCCAGAAUCAGAGGGGGAGAGUUUACUGUCUUGAUCAUGUCUUGAUGAGGUCACCCGAUUGGACUGCUGCCAAGUUUACGCCCACUCACCCACUGACUCCCUCUCACCUAACCCACUGACUACUCUGCAGCAGCAAAAACAACCUAUUUUCUGAGAAAUGGUAGUGACCCAGAGUUCGAAGAGGGGCAGUCAUAUGUGGUAAAGAACUUCACCCUCUCACACAAAUACAGGCGGCCAUGCUUGUUUGCCAAUCAAGCAACAAUUAAAUUUAAAACAACUCCACUGGCCAUAACGGAGGAGGCCAAGAAAGCAGCAAAAGAGGCUCUCUGUCCACCUUCCCCACUAAAGACUGGUGAAGAUGACAUUUUUGACAACGGGAGCUACCUGAGUCUCCAGGAGCAGAUAGAAAAAGUUGAAGUGGCCAGGAUGACCAGAGGACAGGUGCCCAUCCUGGAUCUGCGGAUUAAAUGCGGUUCCACAGUACAAGAUAUUUCACUGUGGAGAGAAGAGGCACUAAGUGAGCUGUAUGUUGGGGACAUGGUGGAGCUCACCCACCUAAAGGCCACAAUAACACCAGAUGGAAAGGGAAAAUUUGCCUCUUCCAACUACACAACUGUCAAGAUUAUUGACUGGCAGAUCCAGGAGGAAGAACUGGAGAUAAUUGGGGUGUCAGAAAAAAAUGACAAACUAAUCCUUCUUGACAGUAGGCUGGACAACUAUGUUGUCCCAGCUCAUUUCUAUGCAGGCGACCUUGAUGACCUAGUAAACCAGCUACCACUAAAAAUGAAAGUUAGGGACAUACAAAGACAUGUUCUUGAAAUAGAAUGCCUGGAUUCACCUAAAAGUAAGGGAUCGCUGAAUCUACUGCAGGAUGGGACAUCCUUAGAUCCUGGUCAGAGUGGGGAAUCACUAGAUGGAGACAUGGAAUCCCUGGACGCAGCUGAGAGCAUGGAAUCACUUGAUCCAAUCGACUGUUGAUCCAAUCGAAUGUUGAAGACACUGGUUAAAGGGAAAGUUCACCCAAAAAUUAAAAUUUGAUGUUUAUCUGCUUACCCCAAGGGCAUCCAAGACGUAGGUGACUUUAUUUAAACUGAGAUUUUUAACUACUGAAGAAACAAAGUGACCUACAUCUUGGAUUUCCUGGGGGUAAGUAUCAAAUUUUCAUUUUUGGAUGAACUAUCCCUUUAAGU